UAUAGGUUUGGUCCCAGCCUUCCUGUUAACUUUCAAUAGACUUAUACAUGCAAGCAUCCACGCCCCGGUGAGUAACGCCCUUCGAAUCACACAGGACUAAAAGGAGCAGGUAUCAAGCACACACUCUUGUAGCUCACAACGCCUUGCUUAACCACACCCCCACGGGAGACAGCAGUAACAAAAAUUAAGCCAUAAACGAAAGUUUGACUAAGCCAUAUUGACCAGGGUUGGUAAAUCUCGUGCCAGCCACCGCGGUCAUACGAUUGACCCAAGCUAACAGGAGUACGGCGUAAAGCGUGUUAAAGCAUCAUACUAAAUAGAGUUAAAUUUUAAUUAAACUGUAAAAAGCCAUAAUUAUAACAAAAAUAAUUGACGAAAGUAACCCUACAAUAGCUGAUACACCAUAGCUAAGACCCAAACUGGGAUUAGAUACCCCACUAUGCUUAGCCCUAAACACAAAUAAUUAU
This 467-nucleotide ribosomal RNA is filed under the name Ovis aries (sheep). Its description in RNAcentral is "partial 12S ribosomal RNA". Lineage: Eukaryota; Metazoa; Chordata; Mammalia; Artiodactyla; Bovidae. The record is from RNAcentral.